AUAUUGCACAAUGGGCGCAAGCCUGAUGCAGCAACGCCGCGUGGGUGAAGAAGGCUCUUGGGUCGUAAAGCCCUUUCGACAGGGAAGAAGGGUCGUAUGGUGAAUAAUCAUGCGAUUUGACGGUACCUGAUGAAGAAGCACCGGCUAAUUUCGUGCCGGCAGCCGCGGUAAUACGAAAGGUGCAAGCGUUGUUCGGAAUUACUGGGCGUAAAGCGCACGUAGGCGGGUCUGUAUGUCGAUUGUGAAAGCCCCGGGCUCAACCUGGGAAUUGCAGUCGAAACUGCAGAUCUUGAAUACCUGAGAGGGUGGGGGAAUUCCUGGUGGAGAAGUGAAAUUCGUAGAUAUCAGGAGGAACACCUGAGGCGAAGGCGCCUGCCUGGCAGUGUAUUGACGCUGAUGUGCGAAAGCGUGGGGAGCAAACAGG
This 424-nucleotide ribosomal RNA is filed under the name uncultured bacterium. RNAcentral's name for it is "bacterial SSU rRNA". It matches the Rfam family "Bacterial small subunit ribosomal RNA", at positions 361 to 776 of the family's 1533-position model. The record is from RNAcentral.